Molecule: ribosomal RNA, 655 nt
Filed under: uncultured bacterium
Lineage: Bacteria
Description: bacterial SSU rRNA
Rfam family: Bacterial small subunit ribosomal RNA
Source: RNAcentral
UUCGCAUGAAGCAGUGUGAAAAACUCCGGUGGUAUACGAUGGAUCCGCGUCUGAUUAGCUGGUUGGCGGGGUAACAGCCCACCAAGGCGACGAUCAGUAGCCGGCCUGAGAGGGUGAACGGCCACAUUGGGACUGAGACACGGCCCAAACUCCUACGGGAGGCAGCAGUGGGGAAUAUUGCACAAUGGGGGAAACCCUGAUGCAGCGACGCCGCGUGAGUGAAGAAGUAUUUCGGUAUGUAAAGCUCUAUCAGCAGGGAAGAAAAUGACGGUACCUGACUAAGAAGCCCCGGCUAACUAUGUGCCAGCAGCCGCGGUAAUACGUAGGGGGCAAGCGUUAUCCGGAUUUACUGGGUGUAAAGGGAGCGUAGACGGCAGCGCAAGUCUGAAGUGAAAUCCCAUGGCUUAACCAUGGAACUGCUUUGGAAACUGUGCAGCUGGAGUGCAGGAGAGGUAAGCGGAAUUCCUAGUGUAGCGGUGAAAUGCGUAGAUAUUAGGAGGAACACCAGUGGCGAAGGCGGCUUACUGGACUGUAACUGACGUUGAGGCUCGAAAGCGUGGGGAGCAAACAGGAUUAGAUACCCUGGUAGUCCACGCCGUAAACGAUGAUUACUAGGUGUUGGGGGACCAAGGUCCUUCGGUGCCGGCGCAAACGC